RNAcentral lists this long non-coding RNA (649 nucleotides) under Struthio camelus australis. Its description in RNAcentral is "lncRNA (ENSSCUG00000001074.1)". Lineage: Eukaryota; Metazoa; Chordata; Aves; Struthioniformes; Struthionidae. The record is from RNAcentral.
GUAAAAGGACUUUUUCCAAAUCAUAACAUAAUUUAAAGGGAACGAUUUAAAUUAGCCAGAUGUAUUUUGUUCUGCAAAAGCAUUCAUAAAGAAACUGCCACUGCACAAUGAUGCAAGAUUUUUUUUGCUUGGUUUAUUAGCUGUUUUUUAAGAGGGAAUGAAAAAUUUUGGACAGAGAGUCUUAUAUUGAGACUAUGCAAAAUACAACAUAAAAAGAAAACAAUUGUUUACUGUUAUUUGUUUAUUUGAACUCUUCGUAGGAGCCUGUUUUUACCUCUUCAGUCAUCCUUUAUUAACUAGAUGUGUAUGGAACAGUAAAGAUCAUCAAAGAAAACAAAUUUGAAGGGUGUGAAAUAAACGUUCGGAGAGACUGAGGACUGCGAUUUAUUAGUAGCGUAUUAAACAAACUGCUCUUUUCAGAUGAUGAUGAUUAAAGACAGGUACAACACCAAUGGCAACAAAUGUCUGCAAAACCAGAAGGAGCUUCUGAGAUGGAAGAUGGAAACUAAAAUUGAAUUGCAACAGCAGUUUUGAAGAGGAAUGAAUCCCACUGCCUGAGAUCAGCUCCUAGGAAAGGAAGCACUGGUUUGUAAGGCAAGAUGAAGUCUAUAUUUAAUCUUAUUUCCCAGGACUGGAAACCCUCAUAACU